UAUCAAACUACUAAGACCAUUGCUUUAUUUAAAUACGACAAUAGACAUACUCUUCACAGUAAUAUUUGCAACAUGUCUGGUUAACACACGGCAGUGCCUCUACAAAAACGAUGCUGUAAUUCAAACGAAAUCAUACUCGACUCCAAAAUCCUGAUCAAAUACAUCUAUUGCGAAUAUAACUAAUUUCUGUUCCUUUUCUGCUAACCGUGAUCAUGCGUUUGAAUCGUGUUUCCGACGAGAAAAAGAAGAUGACGCCGAAUUUCAAUUCAAUAUCGACUGUUCCAGGUUUUGAAACGACUACUGAUAUAUUAACCGGAGCAGAUUUAUUACGUGAUAAGAAUACAUGUGGAAAAUUUAGUAUCCUUGCCGAUGUUUUGCACAUACCAACAAGUCAAUUAUGCUUUGACAGUUUAGAUUACAAUUCAACAAUCAGUCCGUUUAAAUCGAAGUAAUGCACCAACACAUUCAAAACAGGAUGGUCGAGGCGGAGAGAAGAUACAAAGCUAGGUUUUUGAGAGGUCGAGCUACGAUUAAAAGAUUCCAGAAGGGAGAUAUUGUAAUAAUAAAAAUAUAACCCCAGAAAUCGGAUAUCCCUAUAUUUAAAAUUUUGUGAACUAUACAAAAUCCAGAAAAUAAUUGAGAAUGAUUAAUAUCUUGUAAAGUGAUUUUAGACAAUGGAUGACUUCGAAAUGUGGCACAUGACCAGCUACGAAUGUGGCACAUGACCAGCUACGAUGAGACUUCACAGCAUCUGAGGGACGACACAGAAUUACUAAGCAAGCAGUUAGGUGGACGGUUCGCCUACCUAAUAGUUAUCCGAAAACAAUGCAGAGCACGCAUCAGUAUAACCGUAUCGGCAUGACUUCGGACGAUGAAGCAUCAAUUCUUGAACCUGGCCCAUACUCUACGAGACCUGCAACGGGUACGAGAACAUUACGAAAGCUAAGCAAGAGAGAACACAUCACCAGGCAGGUGCAGAGCACGCACCGCCUGCCAGAAUGGCCGUAUCGGCGCAAGCAGCUUCAACGACGGAUGCAACAUGAAAAUAACUGGCACCAAUUAUUAUAACACCUUAUUGGUCGUCGUUACUAUUGUUAAAAGUAAAACGAAAUCAAAGAGAAUAGAACUAUGUUUGAAUUCUGGUUUAAAUAUGACGUCUGGACGCACGACGGAGGACU
Molecule: long non-coding RNA, 1178 nt
Organism: Danaus plexippus (monarch butterfly)
Lineage: Eukaryota; Metazoa; Arthropoda; Insecta; Lepidoptera; Nymphalidae
Exons: 3
Source: RefSeq, a predicted model, not a curated record